RNAcentral lists this ribosomal RNA (200 nucleotides) under uncultured organism. Its description in RNAcentral is "partial small subunit ribosomal RNA". It matches the Rfam family "Bacterial small subunit ribosomal RNA", at positions 1184 to 1382 of the family's 1533-position model. The record is from RNAcentral.
GUCAAGUCAGCAUGACCCUUAUGUCCUGGGCGACACACACGCUACAAUGGCCGGUACAAAGGGCAGCCAAGCGGUAACGCGGAGCCAAUCCCAGAAAGCCGGUCUCAGUACGGAUUGGAGUCUGCAACUCGACUCCAUGAAGUCGGAAUCGCUAGUAAUCGCAGAUCAGCAUUGCUGCGGUGAAUACGUUCCCGGGUCUU